GGGCCGGUAGCUCAGUUUGGUAGAGCACCUGACUUUUAAUCAGGUGGUCGCGAGUUCGAAACAACAAAACAAUGUUGAAGAAAGUCUCGUCCGGCCCA
RNAcentral lists this transfer RNA (98 nucleotides) under Candidatus Woesearchaeota archaeon. RNAcentral describes it as "tRNA-Lys". It matches the Rfam family "tRNA". From Rfam's summary of the family: Transfer RNA (tRNA) molecules are approximately 80 nucleotides in length. Their secondary structure includes four short double-helical elements and three loops (D, anti-codon, and T loops). The record is from RNAcentral. Lineage: Archaea; Nanobdellati; Candidatus Woesearchaeota.